Molecule: ribosomal RNA, 713 nt
Filed under: Neomysis integer
Lineage: Eukaryota; Metazoa; Arthropoda; Malacostraca; Mysida; Mysidae
Description: SSU rRNA
Rfam family: Eukaryotic small subunit ribosomal RNA
Source: RNAcentral
AUGCAUGUCUCAGUACAUACCAAUCUUUAAGGUGAAACCGCGAAUGGCUCAUUAAAUCAGUUAUGGUUCAUUAGAUCUUAACCAAGUUACUUGGAUAACUGUGGUAAUUCUAGAGCUAAUACAUGCAACCAAGCUCCGACCGCAAGGGAAGGGCGCUUUUAUUAGAUCAAAACCAAUCGGUCUUCGGGCCGCCAUGUCGUGUUGACUCUGAAUAACUUUGUUCUGAGCGUACGGUCUUCGAACCGACGCCGCAUCUUUCAAGUGUCUGCCUUAUCAGCUUUCGAUUGUAGGCUAUGCGCCUACAAUGGCUAUAACGGGUAACGGGGAAUCAGGGUUCGAUUCCGGAGAGGGAGCCUGAGAAACGGCUACCACAUCUAAGGAAGGCAGCAGGCACGCAAAUUACCCACUCCCAGCUCGGGGAGGUAGUGACGAAAAAUAACGAUGCGGGACUCUUCCGAGGCUUCGCAAUCGGAAUGAGCUCAACCUAAAUCCUUGUACGAGGAUCCAUUGGAGGGCAAGUCUGGUGCCAGCAGCCGCGGUAAUUCCAGCUCCAAUAGCGUAUAUUAAAGUUGUUGCGGUUAAAAAGCUCGUAGUUGGAUCUCAGUUCUGGACCGGUGGUUCGCCUUUGGUGAAUACUGUUGGUCCGAGCAGCUCGCUGGUUUCUUGAGAAUGCUCUUAAUCAGGUGUCUCUUGGGGCCAGCACGUUUACUUUG